Molecule: long non-coding RNA, 991 nt
Organism: Photinus pyralis (common eastern firefly)
Lineage: Eukaryota; Metazoa; Arthropoda; Insecta; Coleoptera; Lampyridae
Exons: 3
Source: RefSeq, a predicted model, not a curated record
AUAAACAAAACAAACGCUUGCACCUGCACGUUGGCGCGUUAAAGCGAAUUCAAAUUCAAGCGCUUGCGGUUGCGCGCUGCUGAGGGAGUCACGGUAUAGCAGAGAUGCAUGUCUAAUUGGCUGUUGGUUUCGAGUUGGUUUGAUCUAAAGUUGUAAUCACAGAUGGUUGUAAUUCGUUAACCUCAAAAUAACAUUAUCUUGAAACGGGCGUACCAAUGCAGAAAAAAUAACGGUUCUAUUAACGAAAAGAUACAAAUUCAAGAACUACAAUUGUUGAAAUUAAUGGUUACAUUGGACUGACCGCUGUUGUUUAUAGUUACAAUCAGGCCUUGCUUGGUUUGCUCUGUAGAAAAGUUGAUUUCUUGAGUAGUAGACCCAACAGGAAAGGUUAUUCGGGAGCAACUUGGAACGGAAGCAUUAGAUUGUUCAUCUCCCGUGACACUUGUGGAUGAUGACAAAAUUUGCGCUAUUCUCUCUUGGCCAUGAAGAGACUGGUCAACAUAACCACCCGCAACCGAUGCAGAUUUCCACCCUCCCAAUUGCUUUAAUUGAAGGGUGUCUCCACCGGCAUUUGCUAACAGAGUUGCCGCUGUUCGACGGAAACAAUGCCCCGGUAUUGAGCAAUUGUGGAAUGACCAAUUGGUUGUUUUGUAAUUUUCCCAAAACGCAUUUGUAGAAGAAAUCUCUCAUUGUCAAUAUUGUUACGCAGGUCAACAUACUGCUUUAAGAAACCUAUCCAUUUAGCAUCGGUCACCACAAACGAUCUACUAUUAUAGGUUUUCGUGUCGGGUAUAAUAAAGUUGACACGAUGUCCCAAAAAAUCUACAUGGGACAGCUUCAUUUUUAUGAGCUCAUCCGUUUUGCAGGCGCCUGAUAUGCCAAUUAUUAGAACAACCUACAAAUAAACACAAAGUUAGUACUGUAAUGAAAGUGGCUUUGUAUGAACUUGUAUCACUACAAAGCAUAAUUUAAUAAAAUGUUUACGUCUUUG